This 3948-nucleotide unclassified non-coding RNA is filed under the name Manduca sexta (tobacco hornworm). Its description in RNAcentral is "brain tumor protein, transcript variant X11". Lineage: Eukaryota; Metazoa; Arthropoda; Insecta; Lepidoptera; Sphingidae. The record is from RNAcentral.
CGCCGCCGCGAGGGCGCUGCCGGCGCUCAGUCUCGCGCCGACCGUCCCAGCGCUCGGACGCUCGCUUCUUUAUGCGAUGCGAUCAGAAAAAUAAACUAGUUUUGUUCCGGAACCACCGACGUGCCCGUGUGUCGCCGAUUUAACGUGUUUGUGGACUUAUAUUGUGAACGUGAUUUUUAUCUAACGUGAACGAUAAACUGUUCGGAUUGACCGGGAGCGGUUGAGUUGUGUGGAAACAAAGGUUUACAUUGUCGGAAGGUGAACGCUCUUCGUUGGAGCCGCACAGAUCGUGAAAUUUCGUAAAGCUGCAGCGUCGUAAGAGACGUGGCGCCGCGGUUGCCCAUCAUGCAUUAGAUAUCGCACAAACGAUAUCGAAACGUAAGUAGCAGCACAGCUGAGACCUAAUUUGAAAAAUGAAAAACGUAUGUAAACAUAAAUUUUCUAAGAAAUUUAAUAUAAACUGAGGUUAUGCUAAUUUGUAGUAAUGAGAGAUGUUAAGAAACAAAACCUCGUCAGGAGUGCGCUAUUACAACUGGAACGUUAGAAAUUACUUACAAACCGGACCAUUUUGACGGCUUCCACAAAGUCCUUGUUUAUUAUUAUUUUUUUAUAUAAAAUCAACGGAUCUAGAAAGUAUCUCUGAUACUUAAAAUGUUAGACAUAGUUCAUGUUAUUUUUCGAAUUUUAUCUUGGUUUUUUCUAUUAUAAUUUUCUCGUGACGUUUCGAAGACUGAACAAAAUUCGCGACAAAACCCGAAAACUAGGUUUAUUUUGAUAACUAUAGGACUCAAUUUUAUUUACCAUAUGAAAAUAGUUAAUUUAAUAUUCCAUAUGUUACUUCUAAUUUUAAGCUUAUUGCGAAGCUUUUAUUCCUACAGAAUCCCAGGCCCCACAUUCGUAUUAGCAAAGUUGAGAAAAUUCGAAAUAAUUGAAGAGUAACUUUUGGAUUUUUUGUCGGCUUAUUAUAUUUUUUUCCGUCCAAAGUAUUUGCAGAUGUUCACAACUUUAGGUGUUUAUCCGACUUUCAAUUAUCUGUUAAUUAAAUUUUGGAAAUUAAGUAAAUUCUUUUGCGAGUUGGCGGGCAUUCUUUCGUUAUUGUUUUCAACGGCUCUUGGGAGAUAUAAAGUUCCUUUUCUAAUUUAAACUUCAUGUCUACAUUUUGUUCGAUUUUUGCGUUUUAAAUGCGGGUAGAUGUUUGCUGUUUAUGAAAAUAAGCAAAAAACUGGAUUACUUGUUAGAAGAUAAUGUAUUCUUUAUUUGAUUGAUGCUGAUAAAUACUAUGUUAGCACUAAUAAAUUUAUUAAUCAAAAUACGGCACCAACUCUCCAAACAAAAAAGUACUCUCAUGCUCUAAGAUACGAUGCUAGAUUCAAGCAAGCAGAAAAUUAAUAUCCAAACAGAACAGGCCAAGCGGAAUGUUCAACCAGUUCCUUUCAAAUGUGGUUUAUUCACCGCUAAGAAGAUUACAGCUGAAAAAUCUGAACCUUUCAAGGUGGCAAAACGAGAAACACCUAUAAUCUCCUUAAUGUUUCUUGGACAAGUAUUUUCAAAGGCUUUGCCCUCAUUCAGCGUAGUUUAAAGCGAUGGACAAGGUUCGCAUCUGAAAAAAUACAGAUAAUAAAAUUAAGACCUUAUUCAAUUGAUACGGAGUUGAAAAUUUUUUGGAGUUUAAUUUUAAAAUAAUUUGUUCCGUCAUAGGAAUAUUCGACCGACAAUCCGCUAAAUUAUUAAUUAAUUAUUUUAAACUCUAUUUGUAUUAUGUAAGGUCGAUGUUAUCAAAAUCAGUAGCGUGCAAUCCCUCUCAUGACUACGUUGACCUUAGUCACCCUCCGUUUGGUCCGAGGGGUGUAGAAAGAGAGACAGGGGUGGAGGAACUGCACAUGGCGAAGUCCCACCAUGACUCAUAUCCGAGUUAUAUUAGUUGGAACAAUACUAUUGUUAGAUAUGUUUAAUAUUGCAGAUUUGUUAUGAUUUAUAUAUGUUGAAUUUAUUGAUGAUGUUGGUUUCAUUGAACUUCUAAAUACUAUAUACGAUACGACACUGUUAUAAGGUCGUGGGUUCAAAUCCCUGGUCGGACAGUGAUAUAAGGUUUUUCUGCUCAGUGUCAGUCCGGAGUUUGGAAUUGGCGCCCGAAAUGUUGAUAGAGUUACCUCCUAUCACAACAUGGGACGAAACGAACACAGCUAAAAGUGCGUGCCUAUCAGGGUAAAGACGUGAUGUUUGUUUUUUCGUGCGUUGAUUUUUAUGUUAUUUUGAGUAAAUUUUCUUAUCUUAACUUUUUAUGGCGGUUUAGGACUCUAUCACUUAAAGAUUUACGAAAAAUAAUAACACUGCCCUUAAAAUAAAAAUACAUCAUAAUGAAAGUUAUAAAGGUGAACAAACUAAUUUUCUUCAUUUCUACUUUGACAUUACAAUUGACCCAAACUGAAAGGCAUAAUUACGCCACUCAUUCCUGAAAACUUUCAUCGCACAGUAAUUGAACCUACGACUUUGCGUGGCCAAUGUUUUGUAUCCGUAUUUGAACAAAUUAUGUGAAGUCUGAACGAAUAGAGUUUUUAAAAAAAAGCAUGUUUUAUUCCCCAUUUACUUAUGGCUCCAUUACUUAAUUGAGAGGGUUCUUGACAUUAGUCAAGCGAUAACAUAUGAGAGGCUGUAGAACUGUGGUUGUAGUCUUAGUUCGAUUCUCAGAUCGGACAACACACUGUUUCCUAAUAUCAUUUGGAGCCACCCGAAAACUUGACAUCAGGCAGGCACGAAUGUUAGACAGUCAGCCCAACUAAAUCGUUUUGAUAAUGAAAGCAACACACUGUUUUCUAACUACAUUUGGAGCCAAAAAUUUUACAUACAUACAUACAUACAUAAAAUCACGCAUUUAUCCCCGAAGGGGUAUGCAGAGGCGCAACUAGGGCACCCACUUUUCGCCAAGUAUGUUCCGUCCCAUGAUGUGAUAGGGGACGAGCCUAUCGCCAUAUCGGGCACAAAUUCCAGACUCCGGGCUGAUACUGAGUAGAAAAACCCAAAUAUCACUUUGCCCGACCCGGGAUUCGAACCCAGGACCUCAGAGCGCUAUUGUACCGGACAUGCAAUACAACUACGCCACCGAGGCAGUCACAAAUUUUACUUCAAGCAAUGUCAUGAAACUAGACAGUCAGUCCUUAAAGCCUAACAUAACUAUUAGCUUGUAAAAUAUUAUUUGAUGCAUGCUCUAUUUACCUAUAAUUGCUUUGUUACAUUAUGAUUUGUAAUUGGCAUGUUUUUUUGUUAAAUUAUAAUACAAUCAUUAGUAAAUAAAUAAAUAACAAAAGCCUAAUCCUGAUAAUGAUUGAAAAAGUCUUCAAUGAAUAAGAUAAAACCAACUUGAAGAUUCUUCAAAACAUUUACAAACGAACCUCAGCAAUCAAACGUCCCAACUUUACCAAUUUCACUAACAGCAGCACAUAAAUGGACUACACAAUAGUAAACCACCCUCGUCGGUCCUCAGACCUCUGCCGGCACGUGACUAGCGACUGAUUAAACACGAUUUACCUUCUGCACAGAUGAAAAAUUAGGGACGAAUUCAAUGGUAUAUAGUCUAUGUAUAGAUUUAGGUUAUUUUAAUGAUAUUGUAAAGAUGAAUUUGGUUGUCUAAAUAGGUGGUAUAUAUUUCUGUGAAGAAGUCUGUGUUAUUGGAAUUUGAGCUUUGUAGUGUAGGACUGUAAACAUUACACUUGUUUAAUAGUUUCAAGCAUUUUUGAUUGUUUUGCAAAAUCUGAUAAUUUAAGUUUACGAAUAAAAAUCAUACAUAUAUGAAAGAAAAAACAUUAUUUUUACAUAAUAAUCCUGACCUAUAACAUGCCCUUGAAAAAUAUACACGAACAUACCCGCGUGCAAAACAGUGUAUAAAAUAAAAAUAUUUAAUAACACACAUACAUACGUAAAUCCACCCUCGUUCGUUCCCUUCACUAAAAU